Molecule: long non-coding RNA, 1001 nt
Organism: Apis laboriosa (Himalayan honeybee)
Lineage: Eukaryota; Metazoa; Arthropoda; Insecta; Hymenoptera; Apidae
Exons: 4
Source: RefSeq, a predicted model, not a curated record
UGAUAUUAAGAUAUUAGUCAUGUAAUGUAUUAAUAAUAAUUUUGUUUAUACAUAUAAAUAAGUUUAAAAAUAUAAUUUGAUAAGUAUUGCAAUUUUAUUAAUAACUAAAUAUUAAAUAUUAAUGACUAGAGAUCUAAAAGAAAUGGUGAAUAACGCCAUACUGUAUUGGAUCCCCUUUUGUUUGAUCCUCACCAACAGUGGAACAAGAUAGAUGCUCCAGUCUCUGAUUGGAAGAUACAGAACAGAAAUGUAAACGUUUGUAAGUGUGACAGACAUUUGCACUGAAGAUGUUUUGGGAACAACAAGCUGUUUCGUUUUAUCAAAAUAACUGUUAUCUGAUGUUGUUUCUAUCCGUAUUCAUCAUUUUCAAGGAAAAUUUUAUCUUCACAUAGGCUAUUGUGUUCGACUGCAGCCAUGCUAAAUGCACUGUGUCACGGAUGUGUAACAAGAGACGAUCGCUCUUUUUUUUUUUUUUUUCUUUUCUUCCCGUGAAGUUAGACGGAGCCGCUGCUUUGAAAUUGGCACGCGGGAUGAUUUUAGCUAUUCAAAGCCUGGCGGGAAGGAAGGAAAGUACGUUGCGUUCGACUCGCUGGCGCCAGCGUGACAAAAACUUUUCAUAAUCGGCUGUGUCUCCCCUCGUUUUUGACCUUCUGACAUCGAUGACUAGAAAAUCCUCGAAUUCCUGAUGUUUCCUAAUCUUUCUUCAUGAAUAAUACCUGAAUAACAAUGAAAUGAGGAUACAUCAUUAAAAUUUCUUCAAUGAACCUUCCAAGAAGGAUCCUUCUUUAUCACAAAUUUGUGAGGACCCUUUAGAACCUAAUUUAUAAAGAAAUGGCUUUAAUGAAUGGUCCCACCAUUCAAACUUUCAUUUCAUACUUUAUAAAAGUUAGUUUCCAAUUUUUGCUUUUUUUUUAUUAAAUAUUAUUGACUAUUUUAAAAAAAAAGAAACUAAUGAAAAAUGUAAUAUAAAUAAGUAUUGAUUAAAUAAUAAAAAUGAUUAA